GUCUAUGGCCAUGCCACCCUGAACAAGCCCAAUCCUGUCUGAUCUCGGAAGCUAAGAAGGGUUGGGCCUGGUUAGUACUUGGAUAGGAGACCAUUAAAAACUAAAUAAAAAAUGAAAAAUAAAGAAUCGUAAGCC
RNAcentral lists this ribosomal RNA (135 nucleotides) under Pteropus alecto (black flying fox). The record is from RNAcentral. Lineage: Eukaryota; Metazoa; Chordata; Mammalia; Chiroptera; Pteropodidae.